GUCCAGUAUUCAAUAACAAAUCAUGUGAUGCAAUGAAACAAUGACAGUCUCGAUCCCUAUUUUAUCACCCUAUCUAAGGCUUUUAAUGUGUGGUUCUAUGCAGUAAAUAUACAUGUAACUAUGUAUUAUACAACAAAAAUGUUUAAUUAAAAAACAGAGAUAUGUCUCGAAUAUCGGCAUAAAUUCAUAAAAAAGACAAACUGAU
Molecule: long non-coding RNA, 205 nt
Filed under: Mytilus galloprovincialis (Mediterranean mussel)
Lineage: Eukaryota; Metazoa; Mollusca; Bivalvia; Mytilida; Mytilidae
Source: RNAcentral